GACGAACGCUGGCGGCGUGCUUAACACAUGCAAGUCGAACGGAAAGGCCCUGCUUUUGUGGGGUGCUCGAGUGGCGAACGGGUGAGUAACACGUGAGUAACCUGCCCUUGACUUUGGGAUAACUUCAGGAAACUGGGGCUACUACCGGAUAGGAGCUCCUGCUGCAUGGUGGGGGUUGGAACGUUUAGGCGGUUGGGGAUGGACUCGCGGCUUAUCAGCUUGUUGGUUGGGUAGUGGCUUACCAAGGCUUUGACGGGUAGCCGGCCUGAGAGGGUGACCGGCGACAUGGGGACUGAGAUACGGCCCAGACUCCUACGGGAGGCAGCAGUGGGGAAUAUUGCACAAUGGGCGGAAGCCUGAUGCAGCAACGCCGCGUGCGGGAUGACGGCCUUCGGGUUGUAAACCGCUUUCGCCUGUGACGAAGCGUGAGUGACGGUAAUGGGUAAAGAAGCACCGGCUAACUACGUG
Molecule: ribosomal RNA, 468 nt
Filed under: uncultured bacterium
Lineage: Bacteria
Description: partial 16S ribosomal RNA
Rfam family: Bacterial small subunit ribosomal RNA
Source: RNAcentral